This 288-nucleotide unclassified non-coding RNA is filed under the name fungal sp. Its description in RNAcentral is "partial internal transcribed spacer region". The stretch from base 1 to 46 matches the Rfam family "Eukaryotic small subunit ribosomal RNA", at positions 1786 to 1831 of the family's 1831-position model. Lineage: Eukaryota; Fungi. The record is from RNAcentral.
AAGUCGUAACAAGGUCUCCGUAGGUGAACCUGCGGAGGGAUCAUUCACAUGAUUACUUUAUAGAAACAAACUGUGAACUUUAUUAUUUACCAUUCGUGUUGUUAUUACUUUCCAAUUUAUUGGUUAGUCAUUCUCAACACUGUCAUUCGAUCGAACAUAAAGAUAGUUGGCUUGUAUUGUUUUACAAUACUUUCUCAGCUUUGAUUUCUGAUGUAACUAAACACUACACCAUGAUAAUCAACCAAUCAAUAGAAUUAACAACUCUAUGCCCUGGAUAUCUUGGUUCUC